This 827-nucleotide long non-coding RNA is filed under the name Heterocephalus glaber (naked mole-rat). RNAcentral's name for it is "lncRNA (ENSHGLG00100045534.1)". Lineage: Eukaryota; Metazoa; Chordata; Mammalia; Rodentia; Bathyergidae. The record is from RNAcentral.
UUUCUGGGCACCAUGGGAGUUUAAAAAAAUUUUUUUUUUUUUUGGUACCGGAGAUCGAACUCGGGUCCUUGCGCUUUCGAGGCAGGUGGCAGAACCACUGAGCUAAAUCCCCAGCCCCCCAAAAUUUUUUAUUAAAAUGUUUGCAGUACAUAAUGAUGACAUUCAUCUUUUUUGGGGGGGGAUGGGUUGGUACAUAUAAAUAGCACCUUAAUUCUUUUUCCAUGACAUGUUUUGGUACAUGUGUACAUUGUAUAAUGUUUGAAUCAGGGUGGCAGCCACUUCUUCCAGAAGCCCUGACAGUCAGCGAGAUACUUCACUGGGCUGAGAGGCAUGACUCAGCGUCUGGCUCCAUGGCAUUCUCCAUCUCCCAGAAUCGCAGUUUCAGUGCUCACCUCUGUGACUCAGCUGUCACGACCUCUCUGGGAACAAGCCCUGCCCUUGGAUACCACCCUGUUUUCGUGUUGUCUGUUGCCUCGGCCAAUGCUUAGCACCAUUCCUGUAUGAAGCUGCACAUUGGGGUACCAGCCCCUGCCAGCUGGGAAGCACAAGAAUACCAGGAGGUUGUUCUUUGUAGAAUCUACCAGUCAACUGAAAACGCCUUCUCUUCUGGCCACCAAAAGGGAAUAAAGAAUGCCAUGAAGAUUUAACUCAUCAUAAAUGAAUACACUUCUUUAUUUAAAAAGGCAUUUUUCUUUUUCAAAGGGAACAAAGGCGUAUUGACCAGCUGGUUAUUUAAGUUUAUGAAAACACAUAGCAUGGGCUGCUGAUGGUUUUCUGUAAUUUUUCAGUAAUAAUCGUAAGUGAAGAAAAAGACAAGAAAAUUUGAG